This is a long non-coding RNA of Girardinichthys multiradiatus, 1496 nucleotides long. RefSeq lists it as uncharacterized. NCBI's taxonomy places the organism in Eukaryota, Metazoa, Chordata, Actinopteri, Cyprinodontiformes, Goodeidae. The transcript has 7 exons. The record is from RefSeq and is a predicted model, not a curated record.
GCUCCUGCAGCACCCACCCCACCAGCCGGCCAUUAGAUGUGUAUGUGUGUGUGUUUGGAUGGCCUGUUCUUGUUUGGACAACGGCGUUGGUGGGGGGUGGGAGCUGGAAGGGCACCCCGCACAGGGCUGCCCCUGCAACGUGAGCGGGAAGGUGCACAUGACACCACCUAUCACAGCUCACACCUUAACAGCCAAUGCAGCGAGGUAACCCCCCCCCUGCCCUCACAGGCUAGGGCAGCUCCCUCAUCUUUACAUGUACCCUCGCACAGAGAACAGUCAAGCUAUGAAGAACCCCGGCUGUAAAGUGCUCAAACCUACUGCUGCAGGUCAUCCAGAUGGUGCAGGAGAAGACUGCAAUCAAUCUGUGCUGUAAAAGAUGGAAGCUCAGAGGUCUCAUAUCAUGAGCCAACUUCCCAAUCAGACAAGAUCAUCCACAGCAUUGUGUGUUUCCUAGGGGGAAGACUUGUACUAUUUUAAAAUGUUUUUAGAGAGCACCAUAGCCAAUUUAAUAAGGGAUACCUGAAUCAAAAUCAGUACUUUUCUGUUCUGAACCGGAACAAGGUGAACUGAUGGCUCCCAGACUGGGCUCUGUCUCUGCCUCAAGUGCAGGAAUUCAAGCAUCAUGGUUCAUGAGGGAUCGAUGGAGCAGGAGGCCUCAGCCUUGGUUCGCAGAUAUGGAUCAUGACCGAAACAAGAUCCUGGUCGCAAGCAACUAAAACGAGGUUCCUUCAUCAGACGGCUCGGCACAGCCUUAGGGAUAGGGUUUAUCGUCUGAAUUCUCAUCUGCUCGAUGUGGAGAGGGAUUCUGAGUUGUACCUGAGCAGCGAGGUCCCUGUGGACACUGACGUGGUAGUCCAGCUCUGUGAAAACCUUCCUGAGGACCUCAUCGUCCACUUCACCUCCUUUCCUCUGGUCGAGGUCAGGAGCGGCGCGGGAGUCAAACGUCACAUUACUGAUGACCAAGGCAAAGCCUCGGGGCGAGGAGUUCAUUUUUAAACUGACUGGAAUGGGGUGGAGAGAGAGGGAAGACGUGCAGCAAAGGUCACUUGAACCGGGAGUCUAACCCGCAACAGCUGCAUCGAGGACUUAAGCCUCUGAAUGUGGGUCGUGUGUUUUACCCCUGUGCCAACGCAGCGCCUGCAAAUUCAUUCUUCUUCUACUGAUAAUGGCAUUUGCUGCAGUCUAACCACAGCUCAGCACAUUCUUCCUGAGUUGGAAGUGGGAAAGAAGACCUCACACUCCUCUGACAUGGAAAAAAAGGAUGCUCCACAUCUAUCAGAGGACCUGGCUGAGAAUGACGAGGUGUUGCUCACCUCCCUCCUUUCCUCCUUGCCUAAUAAGGACGUCUGCAACAGACCACUUUACUAAAGCUCAUCAUUCUUCAGCAUUCCUAUCAAUUGUAAGCUGGUAUGGAAAAGCUAACAAAGAUAGAAGAAUUUUGCACCUUAAAGUUUGUAUUAAGACUUGGUCUUAUAGGAAAUACCAUAUCUGCAAUC